This 497-nucleotide ribosomal RNA is filed under the name uncultured bacterium. RNAcentral's name for it is "bacterial SSU rRNA". It matches the Rfam family "Bacterial small subunit ribosomal RNA", at positions 16 to 507 of the family's 1533-position model. The record is from RNAcentral.
AUCCUGGCUCAGGAUGAACGCUGGCGGCGUGCUUAACACAUGCAAGUCGAACGGGAAUGUUUCGCUGAUGCGAUUUCGGUCAAAUCUUGAAGCAUUUUAGUGGCGGACGGGUGAGUAACGCGUGGGUAACCUGCCCUGGUACAGGGGGACAACAGUUGGAAACGACUGCUAAUACCGCAUAAGCGCACAGCUUCGCAUGAAGCAGUGUGAAAAACUCCGGUGGUACAGGAUGGACCCGCGUCUGAUUAGAUAGUUGGUGAGGUAACGGCCCACCAAGUCAACGAUCAGUAGCCGGCCUGAGAGGGCGAACGGCCACAUUGGGACUGAGACACGGCCCAAACUCCUACGGGAGGCAGCAGUGGGGAAUAUUGCACAAUGGGGGAAACCCUGAUGCAGCGACGCCGCGUGAGUGAAGAAGUAUUUCGGUAUGUAAAGCUCUAUCAGCAGGGAAGAAAGACAUGACGGUACCUGACUAAGAAGCCCCGGCUAACUACGUG